This is a non-coding RNA of Macrobrachium nipponense, 65 nucleotides long. The record is from the annotation of a RefSeq genome assembly. Lineage: Eukaryota; Metazoa; Arthropoda; Malacostraca; Decapoda; Palaemonidae.
GAUUAUCUAGUAUAAAUAGUACAACUGACUUCCAAUCAGUUAGCCUGGUAUUUCCAGGAUAAUCA